GAGGGUAUAGCUCAGUGGUAGAGCACGUGCUUAGCAUGCACGAGGUCCUGUUCAAACCCUAGCGCCUCCU
This 70-nucleotide transfer RNA is filed under the name Camelus bactrianus (Bactrian camel). It matches the Rfam family "tRNA". Rfam says of the family: Transfer RNA (tRNA) molecules are approximately 80 nucleotides in length. Their secondary structure includes four short double-helical elements and three loops (D, anti-codon, and T loops). Further hydrogen bonds mediate the characteristic L-shaped molecular structure. tRNAs have two regions of fundamental functional importance: the anti-codon, which is responsible for specific mRNA codon recognition, and the 3' end, to which the tRNAs corresponding amino acid is attached (by aminoacyl-tRNA synthetases). tRNAs cope with the degeneracy of the genetic code in two manners: having more than one tRNA (with a specific anti-codon) for a particular amino acid; and 'wobble' base-pairing, i.e. permitting non-standard base-pairing at the 3rd anti-codon position. Lineage: Eukaryota; Metazoa; Chordata; Mammalia; Artiodactyla; Camelidae. RNAcentral also lists the same sequence under 1 other name. The record is from Rfam by way of RNAcentral.